CUCAAAAAAAAAACAAAAAACAAAAAAACCAAAGGACAGGAAGUAAACAGAGAUAUGAACUGUGUCCCCAUCAGGAUGGAGCCUAAAAAAGAACAGAUAAUGGGGGUCUGAGCUUCCUUCUGGAAUCAUUUUCCUAUUACCCAAGGAAAAUUGUUUGGUGUUCCCUUUAAUGGAAAUCUUUUAAAAAAUGUUUUCUGGCUUUAUUUAGUUAUCUAGUUUUUCGUUUGAUAACUUGCCUUUUGUUUUUAAAAUUUUCAUUUCUUUCCCUUAGUUUUCUGUAGUUUUAUUAACGUC
Molecule: long non-coding RNA, 294 nt
Organism: Rhinopithecus roxellana (golden snub-nosed monkey)
Lineage: Eukaryota; Metazoa; Chordata; Mammalia; Primates; Cercopithecidae
Exons: 3
Source: RefSeq, a predicted model, not a curated record